Molecule: ribosomal RNA, 968 nt
Filed under: human gut metagenome
Description: bacterial LSU rRNA
Rfam family: Bacterial large subunit ribosomal RNA
Source: RNAcentral
GGUAGCGAAAUUCCUUGUCGGGUAAGUUCCGACCCGCACGAAAGGCGUAAUGAUUUGAGCACUGUCUCGACAAUGCAUCCGGUGAAAUUGAAGUACCAGUGAAGAUGCUGGUUACCCGCGCCAGGACGGAAAGACCCCAUGGAGCUUUACUCCAGUUUGAUACUGGGAUUCGGUACUGCAUGUACAGGAUAGGUGGGAGACGAAGAAGGAUGGACGCCAGUCUGUCCGGAGUCGCUGUUGGGAUACCACCCCUGUAGUACUGGGUUUCUAACCAGUUGCCAUGAACUGGCAAUGGGACAAUGUCAGGCGGGGAGUUUGACUGGGGCGGUCGCCUCCGAAAGGGUAUCGGAGGCGCUCAAAGGUUCCCUCAGAAUGGUUGGAAACCAUUUGAAGAGUGCAAAGGCAGAAGGGAGCUUGACUGCGACACCGACGGGUGGAGCAGGUACGAAAGUAGGACUUAGUGAUCCGGUGGUAUAAAGUGGGAUUGCCAUCGCUCAACGGAUAAAAGCUACCCUGGGGAUAACAGGCUUAUCACUCCCAAGAGUUCACAUCGACGGAGUGGUUUGGCACCUCGAUGUCGGCUCAUCGCAUCCUGGGGCUGUAGCAGGUCCCAAGGGUUGGGCUGUUCGCCCAUUAAAGCGGUACGCGAGCUGGGUUCAGAACGUCGUGAGACAGUUCGGUCCCUAUCCGGCGCGGGCGGAGGAUAUUUGAGAGGAGCUGUCCUUAGUACGAGAGGACCGGGAUGGACGGACCACUGGUGUAUCUGCUGUCGACCAACGGCAUGGCAGAGUAGCCAAGUCCGGAAGGGAUAAACGCUGAAGGCAUCUAAGCGUGAAGCCCCCCUCAAGAUGAGAUAUCCCUCCUAUAAGGAGUAAGACCCCUUGAAGACUACAAGGUAGAUAGGGCAGAGGUGGAAGCAUGGCAACAUGUGGAGCUGACUGUUACUAAUAGGUCGAGGGCUUAAUCUG